This 430-nucleotide ribosomal RNA is filed under the name Pseudomonadota bacterium. Its description in RNAcentral is "Proteobacteria bacterium partial 16S ribosomal RNA". It matches the Rfam family "Bacterial small subunit ribosomal RNA", at positions 355 to 776 of the family's 1533-position model. Lineage: Bacteria; Pseudomonadati; Pseudomonadota. The record is from RNAcentral.
UGGGGAAUAUUGGACAAUGGGGGGAACCCUGAUCCAGCCAUGCCGCGUGUGUGAAGAAGGCCUUAUGGUUGUAAAGCACUUUAAGCGAGGAGGAGGGUACUGGUAUUAAUACUACCAGGUACUGGACGUUACUCGCAGAAUAAGCACCGGCUAACUCUGUGCCAGCAGCCGCGGUAAUACAGAGGGUGCGAGCGUUAAUCGGAUUUACUGGGCGUAAAGCGUGCGUAGGUGGUUCGUUAAGUUGAAUGUGAAAGCCCCGGGCUCAACCUGGGAACUGCAUCCAAAACUGGCGAGCUAGAGUAGGGCAGAGGGUGGUGGAAUUUCCUGUGUAGCGGUGAAAUGCGUAGAUAUAGGAAGGAACACCAGUGGCGAAGGCGACCACCUGGGCUCAUACUGACACUGAGGUGCGAAAGCGUGGGGAGCAAACAGG